UUUCCUGAUGAUGUAUUGGUAAUAGGAAGUGUUGUCAGAAGCGAUAACUGACAUGUCUACACCUGCCUGACC
This is a small nucleolar RNA of Echinops telfairi (small Madagascar hedgehog), 72 nucleotides long. RefSeq annotates it as small nucleolar RNA SNORD49. NCBI's taxonomy places the organism in Eukaryota, Metazoa, Chordata, Mammalia, Afrosoricida, Tenrecidae. The record is from RefSeq and is a predicted model, not a curated record. The transcript has a single exon.